CUUCUUUCUUUCGUCGCUAGGGUGCUCAGGUGUGAGGUGGUUCCUUCAGAGCGCCUCAGGAGAUCAAGACCCCCUGUUAUUUGCAAAGGCUUUUGCAAAUGUCUUCGUCCUUAUGCAAGAAGGAUUUCCUGAUUCUUCAGUAUGGCUCAGUCCUGGGUGACCAAACAGGCCAUUCUGAUCCAGCUACAUUGGAAGGACUUUUGACUGACAAGCUGUGGUAGAGGGAAAAGGUGACUUCGGAAAUGUUUGGAGUAAUGUUGAGAAUAAUGGUUCCAAUGAUGGAGUUCCACAUCUGAGCUAGAAGAGGAUUCUCCCAAUAGUUACCCUGGCAAGAGAGAGAUAGUAAGGUGAUUGAUGGACAGAGGAGUGAUCUGCUUUGCAGCAUAUUGAUCAAACUGGCCAGUGUUCUGGAGGAAGUCUGUCUUCUGCUGCCUAAGGAGUUAACUUGAAAACUGACAGGACUUUGAAAGGCUUGAAGCUGCAGUCCUGUCCAGAAGGGGAAGUGUGUAACCAGAGAGCACUGAGAUCUAGUUCUCAAAAUCUUCUGAAAAAUCCCUUGACCAAGGGAGGCCAAGCUAAAAAGAAGGGAGCAGGCACUCUCAAUAAUGGCUCCCCAAUGGUGGAAUCAGCUGCCAGAGGUGUGAGCCCUGCAGGACCUCAUUCAGUUCUGCACGGCUUGUAAAACCAUUGUUUUCCAACUUGUUUUUAAGGUGGAAUCCUGUUAAUGACAUCUAGCCAUCUUUAUAUAUAUGUAUUCAACCGGUAGCAUCUUCAAUUUAUACUGGUUUUAAUUUAUUUACUUAACUAAUUUAUGAAUUUCUAAUUUUAUUGUAAUCAUGGUAUGUUACCAUGUCUUGUGAGCUGCCCUGAGCUUGCCUUGGCAGGAUAUAAAUAAAAAUUUAUUAUUAUUAACCAGAAGAUAAAAUCUAAUGGUAUGACACCUGCAUAAUAAAAUUGUUCUUUGAAAUUUU
This is a long non-coding RNA of Heteronotia binoei (common prickly gecko), 971 nucleotides long. RefSeq lists it as uncharacterized. The record is from RefSeq and is a predicted model, not a curated record. NCBI's taxonomy places the organism in Eukaryota, Metazoa, Chordata, Lepidosauria, Squamata, Gekkonidae. The transcript is spliced from 12 exons.